UCUACAGUGAACAUUAUUUACUUUUAAUGCAAUUGAUUGAAGCAUGACUUAUAGGGGUAGUUCACCCAAAAAUGAAAUGUGUCAUUUACUCACACUCAACUUGUUUCGAAUUUGUUCUGUUGAAAAGAUGUUUUGCCUAUUUUCUUCCUAGCAAAACAUCAAUGUAUGUGCCAAAGUAGAAUUCAUCAACUUUAGCCUUGAUCUCUUUGAUCAGCUCAUCGUCUCUACACACCCUAUUCUACAUUGAAGUCAGCCCUUGUAUUUGUGACCAGAUCACACCAAGCUAAGCCAGUAACCAUCAGCUGACCUUGGACUUGCCAAUGGGCACUUAACUUCUACCAGGCCAUAGGAAGGUUCUUCAUUUGGGUGCACCACUUUGCCAUCUGGACUUGCACUAAGAAACGAUGCAUUGCUUUGGUGUGGGGGGCACCUUUAAUGAUCCGGCCAGCCUGUGUCAUUGCAGUGGAUUCGGACCUCACAUGAGCUGCUUCAUAGAACUUGCUUGCUAUGUCACCUCCAGACUCCAGGCAUAUGCAGGAGUUCAGCGCAGCUGUCAUCGACGAAAUUAUAUGGUGGAAGCUUGUAUUGUGGGACAGGUAAUGGGGGGAAUUGUGGAGCAUUUGGAUUUGUAAGUACAUCCUUUGACAGCACAGCUGGACACUGGUAUGACAACAGUGAUCCUUUUGGGACCUCUCCAAAUUUAGAAGACACCAUGGUUAGAGCAGACAUUCCAUCAACUAGCUUCGCUAUCAGUGGUUGUGGACAACGGGAAAUGAGGGAUGCUGCUCCAGCAAUGACAUCAUUGUCAGGUAAAGGUUCUAAAAAAAGUUCAUGCCUCAGUGUUUUAAUUGUUACCUAAUGUGAAGAUGUGUUUUAUUAGUAUUUGGCAGUGGUGGGCCGUCAGGGCCAGCAAAGCCUUCUCUGUCUCUGUCUAAGUCAGAAUCACUGAUUUAGUUUAAUAUAUUUUUCCAUGAAUGUGUAUCUUUAUUUGUUAAUGGUUGGCAAAUUAAAGUUGUUAAAAACUGACGAAUGAGGUUUCUGUCUUUAUAUUUACCUGGGUUCGGAGCCUAUGCCAGGCCUGCUGUUUGCUUGUGCAUGCAAGGGCAGCUGGAACAUUUUUGGUUCCAAUUGUACUAAAAUGUGCUGUCUGGUAAAGUAACCAGAUGGUUGC
Molecule: long non-coding RNA, 1171 nt
Filed under: Sinocyclocheilus anshuiensis
Lineage: Eukaryota; Metazoa; Chordata; Actinopteri; Cypriniformes; Cyprinidae
Description: lncRNA (ENSSANG00000041482.1)
Source: RNAcentral